RNAcentral lists this long non-coding RNA (287 nucleotides) under Sinocyclocheilus anshuiensis. RNAcentral's name for it is "lncRNA (ENSSANG00000020488.1)". Lineage: Eukaryota; Metazoa; Chordata; Actinopteri; Cypriniformes; Cyprinidae. The record is from RNAcentral.
AUGACUAGAUUGAAGAAUGAAUGCUGGCAGCUGAUCGUACUUGCAGUACUGCAAGAUGAAAAGUUUGGCGUUGGAGUGAAGGGUUUCCCAGCCAGACUUUUAUUGGAAGUUGGUGCUGGUGAAGAGAUCAUACUUCACAGGAAAUCUGAAAAGCUUUUGCUUUGGAGUGUUUUGUGGUGUAGUUUUCAAUAAAUUAUUAAAGAUCUGUGUGGUUGAAGGGUUUUUGUAUUUUUUUUUCAAAAAGGGUGAAGAACCAAUGUAAAAUCCCAAAUAUCUCCUAACAUGAG